GGGCGACGUGUCCGGAUUCCUGGGUGUAAGGGCCGCAGGCGGAUAAAUAAGUCGGUGGUGAAAUCCUUCAGCUUAACUGAAGAACUGCCUCCGAUACUGUUUAUCUUGAGUAUAGAAGAGGGCGAUGGAAUUCCAGGUGUAGCGGUGAAAUGCGUAGAUAUCUGGAAGAACACCGGUUGCGAAGGCUGUCGCCUGGUCUAUUACUGACGCUCAGGGACGAAAGCGUGGGGAUCAAACAGGAUUAGAUACCCUGGUAGUCCACGCUGUAAACGAUGGAUACUCGGUGUUGGCCCGUAAGGGUCGGUGCCUAAGCAAACGCAGUAAGUAUCCCACCUGGGAAGUACGAUCGCAAGGUUGAAACUCAAAGGAAUUGACGGGGGCCCGCACAAGCAGUGGAGCAUGUGGUUUAAUUCGAUGCAACGCGAAGAACCUUACCUAGGCUCGAAAGACUGGAUUAUCCAUCGAUGAAAGUCGGUGGCGCUUCGGCAAUCCAGACAGGUGCUGCAUGGCUGUCGUCAGCUCGUGUCGUGAGAUGUUGGGUUAAGUCCCGCAACGAGCGCAACCCUUGUCCUUAGUUGCCAGCAGGUAAUGCUGGGCACUCUAAGGAGACUGCCUACGCAAGUAGUGAGGAAGGUGGGGAUGACGUCAAGUCCUCAUGGCCCUUACGUCUAGGGCUACACACGUGCUACAAUGACCACUACAGAGGGAUGCAAUACCGUGAGGUGGAGCAAAUUCCAAAAAAGUGGCCUCAGUACAGAUUGGAGUCUGCAACUCGACUCCAUGAAGUUGGAAUUGCUAGUAAUCGCGGAUCAGCACGCCGCGGUGAAUACGUUCCCGGGCCUUGUACACACCGCCCGUCAAGCCAUGGAAGCUGGGGGUGCCCGAAGUCAGUGUGCUAACCGCAAGGAGGCAGCUGCCUAAGCAAACCAGUGACUGGGGCU
Molecule: ribosomal RNA, 941 nt
Filed under: uncultured bacterium
Lineage: Bacteria
Description: bacterial SSU rRNA
Rfam family: Bacterial small subunit ribosomal RNA
Source: RNAcentral